GCCGAGUCAAGCCUGCUGUUUGUUUCUUUAAUGAGGUCAAGCUUGCAAUUUGAGUGAUAUUCCAAUGAAGAUUAUACGAUGCACUGUUUGCCUUGCGGAAUACCAUGGUGAUGAUGUAUUGGGAUCCUCCCCUACUGUGAGCACUCCUUCCAUGUAACCUGAAUAGAGAUAUGGCUUCAGCAGCAUUCCACAUGUCCUGUUUGUAGAAUAUCAUUGCGCGAGUUUCCUGAGAUAAAACGCCUCAUGCAACCCUUGUCCUGUUCGGCUAUUCGAUCUCAUUAUGGUACAGAGUCCUUCAGUACCCUUUCUUAUCGCUAUCUCUUGAAUAGUCGUGCAUCAAGAACUCAUGAAAAUCAUGGUAUGGACCCCAUUCAAGAAGAUCAUGCAGCAUCAGGGUGAUGUAACAGAUGCCAGGGAGAAUAGCUCCCCCUUAACUGAGAGUAAUCAGAUUUCUAAGACUAGGGAAAUAAGCAUUUAGAAAGCCCAUCAAAUCCGUACACAUUGGUGCCUUCGAAUUCAAGAUACAUCUGCUAAUAUGAGCUGGUUUGGUA
Long non-coding RNA from Pyrus x bretschneideri (Chinese white pear), 551 nucleotides. RefSeq lists it as uncharacterized. The transcript has 2 exons. The record is from RefSeq and is a predicted model, not a curated record. NCBI's taxonomy places the organism in Eukaryota, Viridiplantae, Streptophyta, Magnoliopsida, Rosales, Rosaceae.